GAUGAACGCUGACAGAAUGCUUAACACAUGCAAGUCAACUUGAAUUUGGGUUUUUAACUUCGGCUUGGGUGGCGGACGGGUGAGUAACGCGUAAAGAACUUGCCUCACAGCUAGGGACAACAUUUGGAAACGAAUGCUAAUACCUAAUAUUAUGAUAAUAGGGCAUCCUAUAAUUAUGAAAGCUAUAAGCGCUGUGAGAGAGCUUUGCGUCCCAUUAGCUAGUUGGAGAGGUAACGGCUCACCAAGGCGAUGAUGGGUAGCCGGCCUGAGAGGGUGAUCGGCCACAAGGGGACUGAGACACGGCCCUUACUCCUACGGGAGGCAGCAGUGGGGAAUAUUGGACAAUGGACCGAGAGUCUGAUCCAGCAAUUCUGUGUGCACGAUGAAGUUUUUCGGAAUGUAAAGUGCUUUCAGUUGGGAAGAAACAAAUGACGGUACCAACAGAAGAAGUGACGGCUAAAUACGUG
RNAcentral lists this ribosomal RNA (467 nucleotides) under uncultured bacterium. RNAcentral describes it as "partial 16S ribosomal RNA". It matches the Rfam family "Bacterial small subunit ribosomal RNA", at positions 28 to 507 of the family's 1533-position model. The record is from RNAcentral.